ACUCCUACGGGAGGCAGCAGUAAGGAAUAUUGGUCAAUGGGGGCGAACCCUGAACCAGCCAUUCCGCGUGUGUGAAGAAUGCCCUAUGGGUUGUAAAGCACUUUUAUCAAGGAAGAAAUGCGAAUAAUAAUAUUCGAGUUGACGGUACUUGAGGAAUAAGCACCGGCUAACUCCGUGCCAGCAGCCGCGGUAAUACGGAGGGUGCAAGCGUUAUCCGGAAUCACUGGGUUUAAAGGGUACGCAGGCGGCUAGAUAAGUCUGACGUGAAAGCUUGUGGCUUAACCAUGAAAAUUGCGUUGGAAACUGUUUGGCUAGAAUACAGUCGAAGUGGAUGGAAUGCGUCAUGUAGCGGUGAAAAUGCAUAGAUAUGACGUAGAACACCGAGAGCGAAGGCAGUUCACUAGGCUGAUAUUGACGCUGAGGUACG
This 427-nucleotide ribosomal RNA is filed under the name uncultured bacterium. Its description in RNAcentral is "bacterial SSU rRNA". It matches the Rfam family "Bacterial small subunit ribosomal RNA", at positions 335 to 755 of the family's 1533-position model. The record is from RNAcentral.